AUACGUAGGGUGCGAGCGUUGUCCGGAAUUACUGGGCGUAAAGAGCUCGUAGGUGGUUUGUCGCGUCGUCUGUGAAAUUCCGGGGCUUAACUCCGGGCGUGCAGGCGAUACGGGCAUAACUUGAGUACUGUAGGGGAGACUGGAAUUCCUGGUGUAGCGGUGAAAUGCGCAGAUAUCAGGAGGAACACCGGGGGCGAAGGCGUGUCUCUGGGCAGUAACUGACGCUGAGGAGCGAAAGCAUGGGUUGCGAACAGGAUUAGAUACCCGGGUAGUCCAUGCCGUAAACGGUGGGCGCUAGGUGUAGGGGUCUUCCACGACUUCUGUGCCGUAGCUAACGCAUUAAGCGCCCCGCCUGGGGAGUACGGCCGCAAGGCUAAAACUCAAAUGAAUUGACGGGG
This 398-nucleotide ribosomal RNA is filed under the name uncultured bacterium. Its description in RNAcentral is "partial 16S ribosomal RNA". It matches the Rfam family "Bacterial small subunit ribosomal RNA", at positions 523 to 918 of the family's 1533-position model. The record is from RNAcentral.